This 409-nucleotide ribosomal RNA is filed under the name bacterium. RNAcentral describes it as "partial 16S ribosomal RNA". It matches the Rfam family "Bacterial small subunit ribosomal RNA", at positions 355 to 776 of the family's 1533-position model. The record is from RNAcentral.
UGGGGAAUAUUGCACAAUGGGCGAAAGCCUGAUGCAGCGACGCCGCGUGAGGGAUGACGGCCUUCGGGUUGUAAACCUCUUUCAGCAGGGACGAAGCGCAAGUGACGGUACCUGCAGUAGAAGCACCGGCUAACUACGUGCCAGCAGCCGCGGUAAUACGUAGGGUGCAAGCGUUGUCCGGAAUUACUGGGCGUAAAGAGUUCGUAGGCGGUUUGUCGCGUCGUUUGUGAAAACCAGCAGCUCAACUGCUGGCUUGCAGGAGAUACGGGCAGACUUGAGUACUGCCGGGGAGACUGGAAUUCCUGGUGUAGCGGUGAAAUGCGCGGAUAUCAGGAGGAACACCGGUGGCGAAGGGGGGUCUCUGGGCAGUAACUGACGCUGAGGAACGAAAGAGUGGGUAGCGAACAGG